RNAcentral lists this transfer-messenger RNA (255 nucleotides) under Gammaproteobacteria bacterium. RNAcentral's name for it is "partial transfer-messenger RNA". It matches the Rfam family "transfer-messenger RNA", at positions 1 to 272 of the family's 374-position model. From Rfam's summary of the family: Bacterial tmRNA, also known as 10Sa RNA or SsrA, is named for its dual tRNA and mRNA-like properties. The record is from RNAcentral. Lineage: Bacteria; Pseudomonadati; Pseudomonadota; Gammaproteobacteria.
GGGGAUGACUGGAUUCGACGCUGGUUACAAACCCUGCGGUGCAUGUCGAGAGCGCUUGGUAUCUCGUAAAUAAAACCUUGCAACAUAUAGUCGCAAACGACGAAAACUACGCACUAGCGGCCUAAAUCCCGCUUACACUGAGCACCAGAUGCCUGUAAAUGGUUGCAAAGUGGCACGCAGAACAGGAUCGUGUGGAACUCUCUCUCGCGGGUAAAGCACUAAAACUUAAUCGAGAUCGCCCCAGGCACCCUGACU